AGCUCCAAUAGCGUAUAUUAAAGUUGUUGCAGUUAAAAAGCUCGUAGUUGAAUUUCUGGCCGGUCCUGUCUUUGGCUCUCUGAGUCAGUUCAGGACCUGGUCAUCCGUAUGGGAAGCUAGCUCGGCCUUCACUGGUCGGCUAGUGGAUCAUACACUUUACUUUGAAAAAAUUAGAGUGUUUCAAGCAGGCAAUUGCUUGGAUACUACAGCAUGGAAUAAUGGAAUAGGACUUUGACCUAUUU
Molecule: ribosomal RNA, 242 nt
Filed under: uncultured Colpodea
Lineage: Eukaryota; Ciliophora; Colpodea
Description: partial small subunit ribosomal RNA
Rfam family: Eukaryotic small subunit ribosomal RNA
Source: RNAcentral